This 65-nucleotide transfer RNA is filed under the name Huananpotamon lichuanense. Its description in RNAcentral is "tRNA-Pro". Lineage: Eukaryota; Metazoa; Arthropoda; Malacostraca; Decapoda; Potamidae. The record is from RNAcentral.
UCAAAGGUAGUUUAAAGUAAAAAUAUUAAUUUUGGGGAUUAAAGAUAAAAGAAUUUUCCUUUGAA